RNAcentral lists this unclassified non-coding RNA (208 nucleotides) under Hevea brasiliensis (rubber tree). Lineage: Eukaryota; Viridiplantae; Streptophyta; Magnoliopsida; Malpighiales; Euphorbiaceae. The record is from RNAcentral.
ACAUUACUCAGCCUACGUAAUCAAUUUAAGCUAAUAAGGAAGUGGAAGAAAAAAUGGUUCAACAAAAUCAUUAACGUCCUAUGAUAGUGCUCACAAUAAGCUUGCAAAAUAGGGCAGGUAGCAGCAAAGAAAUUCAUAAGUAAACAUGACAGCAUGCUAAGACAUUCAAAAUAUAUACCCACAACAUGCAAAGUAUAAAAGUAAACAA